RNAcentral lists this unclassified non-coding RNA (147 nucleotides) under uncultured fungus. RNAcentral describes it as "sequence contains ITS1". Lineage: Eukaryota; Fungi. The record is from RNAcentral.
GUCUAUAAUUUCAGUCACAAAUAACUCUGACAAACACAACAAGCGUAAAUUGGUGUGCUCGAGUAACAGGAGCCUUGCGGCUGCCUGCACACGACACAACACACGUAUAAUUUUGUAAUGAUCCUUCCGCAGGUUCACCUACGGAAA